RNAcentral lists this ribosomal RNA (1121 nucleotides) under Bacteroides thetaiotaomicron. RNAcentral's name for it is "partial 16S ribosomal RNA". Lineage: Bacteria; Pseudomonadati; Bacteroidota; Bacteroidia; Bacteroidales; Bacteroidaceae. The record is from RNAcentral.
UCCUGUCACCAGGUAGCUGCCUUCUGUACCCCCCAUUGUAACACGUGUGUAGCCCCGGACGUAAGGGCCGUGCUGAUUUGACGUCAUCCCCACCUUCCUCACAUCUUACGACGGCAGUCUCUCCAGAGUCCUCAGCAUGACCUGUUAGUAACUGAAGAUAAGGGUUGCGCUCGUUAUGGCACUUAAGCCGACACCUCACGGCACGAGCUGACGACAACCAUGCAGCACCUUCACAAAUGCCUUGCGGCUAACCUGUUUCCAGAUUAUUCAUUUGCAAUUUAAGCCCGGGUAAGGUUCCUCGCGUAUCAUCGAAUUAAACCACAUGUUCCUCCGCUUGUGCGGGCCCCCGUCAAUUCCUUUGAGUUUCACCGUUGCCGGCGUACUCCCCAGGUGGAAUACUUAAUGCUUUCGCUUGGCCGCUUACUGUAUAUCGCAAACAGCGAGUAUUCAUCGUUUACUGUGUGGACUACCAGGGUAUCUAAUCCUGUUUGAUACCCACACUUUCGAGCAUCAGUGUCAGUUGCAGUCCAGUGAGCUGCCUUCGCAAUCGGAGUUCUUCGUGAUAUCUAAGCAUUUCACCGCUACACCACGAAUUCCGCCCACCUCUACUGUACUCAAGACAGCCAGUAUCAACUGCAAUUUUACGGUUGAGCCGCAAACUUUCACAACUGACUUAACUGUCCACCUACGCUCCCUUUAAACCCAAUAAAUCCGGAUAACGCUCGGAUCCUCCGUAUUACCGCGGCUGCUGGCACGGAGUUAGCCGAUCCUUAUUCAUAUGGUACAUACAAAAAUCCACACGUGGACCACUUUAUUCCCAUAUAAAAGAAGUUUACAACCCAUAGGGCAGUCAUCCUUCACGCUACUUGGCUGGUUCAGACUCCCGUCCAUUGACCAAUAUUCCUCACUGCUGCCUCCCGUAGGAGUUUGGACCGUGUCUCAGUUCCAAUGUGGGGGACCUUCCUCUCAGAACCCCUAUCCAUCGAAGGUUUGGUGAGCCGUUACCUCACCAACUGCCUAAUGGAACGCAUCCCCAUCGAUAACCGAAAUUCUUUAAUAAUUAAACCAUGCGGUUUUAUUAUACUAUCGGGUAUUAAUCUUUCUUUCGAAAGGCUAUCCCC